GUGCUCGCUUUGGCAGCACAUAUACUAAAAUUGGAACGAUACAGAGAAGAUUAGCAUGGCUCCUGCACAAGGAUGACACGCAAAAUCAUGAAGUGUUCCAUAUUUUU
RNAcentral lists this small nuclear RNA (107 nucleotides) under Tupaia belangeri chinensis (Chinese tree shrew). Lineage: Eukaryota; Metazoa; Chordata; Mammalia; Scandentia; Tupaiidae. The record is from RNAcentral.